CCUACGGGUGGCAGCAGUGGGGAAUAUUGCACAAUGGGGGAAACCCUGAUGCAGCGACGCCGCGUGAGUGAAGAAGUUUUUCGGUACGUAAAGCUCUAUCAGCAGGGAAGAAAAUGACGGUACCUGACUACGAAUCCCCGGCUAACUACGUGCCAGCAGCCGAGGUACCACGUAGGGGGCAAGCGUUAUCCGGAUUUACUGGGUGUAAAGGGAGCGUAGACGGCAGCGCAAGUCUGGAGUGAAAUCCCAUGGCUUAACCAUGGAACUGCUGUGGAAACUGUGCAGCUAGAGUGCAGGAGAGGUAAGCGGAAUGCGCGGUGUAGCGGUGAAAUGCAUAGAUAUCGCGCAGAACUCCGAUUGCGAAGGCAGCAUGCCGGCUCCACACUGACGCUGAGGCACGAAAGCGUGGGUAUCGAACAGGAUUAGAUACCCUAGUAGUC
Molecule: ribosomal RNA, 440 nt
Filed under: uncultured bacterium
Lineage: Bacteria
Description: partial 16S ribosomal RNA
Rfam family: Bacterial small subunit ribosomal RNA
Source: RNAcentral